Bubalus bubalis (water buffalo) is the source of this 1463-nucleotide long non-coding RNA. RefSeq lists it as uncharacterized. The record is from RefSeq and is a predicted model, not a curated record. The transcript is spliced from 3 exons. NCBI's taxonomy places the organism in Eukaryota, Metazoa, Chordata, Mammalia, Artiodactyla, Bovidae.
AGCUCAAUUUGCCUUAGACACGUUUUCUUUUCUUUUUUUCUUCAGGAAUUGUCAAAACACGGUUGAUGAAAUAAAGGGAGAAGCAGACAGGAGCACCCGCUUAGUGAAGGUGGAAAAGCCAGCUUGUCUCAGAGGUCAAUUAAAGGCCAAUUCUGAGCCACUUCAAUCAAAAAGAAAGAAUUAUAUCUUCUCUCCUGGCCUGACAGCAAGCACUUAAGUCCACAGUCCCUGGGAUUGCCUCAACUCAGGGCAGCAAAAACCCAGGGCAAGUCUUUGUGAAACACAGACAAGAAUCAAUCAAAACAUCACAAGCUAAUUAAUGUCAUUUGGAGCCCUGGGAGCAGCUGUAUCACAGUGAGUAGCAUAUUAUAAAAUUGGUGUACAUCAGAAGUACACUCAAGGACAUAGGUUAACUCUCUCACCAAACCCUUUCUGUUUAUUUGCUCUGAGAUAUGUAUUAACAAUAGUUAAGUCUUGGCACUUAAUGCCAGAUACUGCUUAUGCACUUUACAUACAACAACUCAUUUAAUCUUUUCAACAACCCUGGGGGGUCGGUGCUAUUAUUAACUCCCUUUGGAGGGAAAGGAAUAAGGCAGAGAGAUGGUUUAUAACCCACCUCAGAUCCUACAAAGGACAAGUAAGCAACAACCAAAUAUCAAACUUAAGCGGUCUGAGUUCAGAGUUGAGAUUAUUGACCCUCACUCAACUCACCGUCCAAUGGUCAAGUAUUAAAUUAGGAGGCAUUACUUCCCUUAUUCCUAACACAGUGUCUAUCAGCGGGAACUUAGUAUUUGUUACUUAUUUGUGGGCCCAUCACUGCAUUAUGAAAGGGCAUUAAGAGAAAUAUUUGUGAAAUUGAACAGAAAAAAUUUUCAGCAAGUAUUUCUCUUUCAGUUGAGACUUCUAAUAGAGAAGGCUUUUGUGCAGGUGACGUCAAUCAUCAAUCUCUCAAGCAAGCAAGAAGAAUGUAUUGGAACCAUGAGCAAGUGUUGGGGGAAGGGGCCCAGGAUUUAAGAGAACAGAGGCCCCUGUGCCCCAGGGGAGAAAGUAACUCAGUUUCUUGGAGUUGAGAUGGGGCUGAAAACUGUCAUUAAGUGAUGACUUGUGAUAUGAUGACUUUUUUUCUGCCAUCAAAUAUAGAUCAGAUCUAUCCUAAGUUAUAAUGGCUAAGAAUUCGCUAUAAUUCACGUCAUAAAUAAAGUGGGCUCAGUGCAGCAGAUUUCUGGGGUUCUGAUUCAAACAGGAAGUUGGUUAGGCUGUUUGCUGAGAUGGGAAUUGGAUAUGCAAGAUUAGAACUCAAAAAAUACAUGGGUGGAAAAGGAAAAAGAUUGGCAAUGCCUGUACACAGAGGAAGGAAAUCCUAAAGGAAAUCAGUCCUGAAUAUUCAUUGGAAGGACUGAUGCUGAAGCUGAAACUCCAAUACUUUGGCCACCUGAUGCAAAGAACUGACUCAUUGGAAAAGA